This 485-nucleotide ribosomal RNA is filed under the name uncultured bacterium. Its description in RNAcentral is "partial 16S ribosomal RNA". It matches the Rfam family "Bacterial small subunit ribosomal RNA", at positions 30 to 506 of the family's 1533-position model. The record is from RNAcentral.
AUUGAACGCUGGCGGCAUGCCUUACACAUGCGAGUCGAACGGCAGCACGGGUGCUUGCACCUGGUGGCGAGUGGCGAACGGGUGAGUAAUACAUCGGAACAUGUCCUGUAGUGGGGGAUAGCCCGGCGAAAGCCGGAUUAAUACCGCAUACGAUCCACGGAUGAAAGCGGGGGACCUUCGGGCCUCGCGCUAUAGGGUUGGCCGAUGGCUGAUUAGCUAGUUGGUGGGGUAAAGGCCUACCAAGGCGACGAUCAGUAGCUGGUCUGAGAGGACGACCAGCCACACUGGGACUGAGACACGGCCCAGACUCCUACGGGAGGCAGCAGUGGGGAAUUUUGGACAAUGGGCGAAAGCCUGAUCCAGCAAUGCCGCGUGUGUGAAGAAGGCCUUCGGGUUGUAAAGCACUUUUGUCCGGAAAGAAAUCCUUGACUCUAAUACAGUCGGGGGAGGACGGUACCGGAAGAAUAAGCACCGGCUAACUAAGU